AGAGUUUGAUCAUGGCUCAGGAUGAACGCUAGCUGGAGGCUUAAUACAUGCAAGUCGAGCGGGAUUGGGUAGCAAUACCCAUGAGAGCGGCGCACGGGUGAGUAACGCGUACACGACCUACCUUUGACUGGGGGAUAGCCCUGGGAAACUGGGAUUAAUACCGCAUAUAAUUCUGAAUAAUAAAGGUUUGGAAUGAAAGUUCAGGCGGUCAGAGAUGGGUGUGCGUCUGAUUAGCUAGUUGGUGAGGUAACGGCUCACCAAGGCGAUGAUCAGUAGGGGGCGUGAGAGCGUGGACCCCCACACGGGUACUGAGACACGGACCCGACUCCUACGGGAGGCAGCAGUAAGGAAUAUUGGACAAUGGCCGCAAGGCUGAUCCAGCCAUCCAGCGUGCAGGAAGAAGGCCCUACGGGUUGUAAACUGCUUUUGUCAGGGAAUAAACCUGUGGAUUUACUCCGCAGCUGAAGGUACCUGAAGAAUAAGCACCGGCUAACUCCGUGCCAGCAGCCGCGGUAAUACGGAGGGUGCGAGCGUUAUCCGGAAUUACUGGGUUUAAAGGGUGCGUAGGCGGCUAUGUAAGUCAGGAGUGAAAGUUUGCGGCUCAACCGUAAAAUUGCUUUUGAUACUGCAUGGCUGGAAUCAGGAUGAGGUCAGCGGAAUGUGGCAUGUAGCGGUGAAAUGCAUAGAUAUGCCAUAGAACACCAAUUGCGAAGGCAGCUGGCUAGACCUGUAUUGACGCUGAGGCACGAAAGCGUGGGGAGCGAACAGGAUUAGAUACCCUAGUAGUCC
RNAcentral lists this ribosomal RNA (789 nucleotides) under uncultured bacterium. RNAcentral describes it as "bacterial SSU rRNA". It matches the Rfam family "Bacterial small subunit ribosomal RNA", at positions 8 to 796 of the family's 1533-position model. The record is from RNAcentral.